UACGUGGAAGACUAGUGUUAUUCAUCUUUAAUAGGUUUAAAGGGUACCUAGACGGUAUUUCUAGCCCCCAAAGGGUACGGAUUUACUAGAGUUUUAUGUGAGAGGCAAAUAUUAGUACUAUUGGUGUAGAGAUGAAAUUCUUUGAUACUACUAGGACUGGUGGCGGCGAAAGCAACCCUCUAAGUAUAAACUGACGUUGAGGGACGAAGGCUUGGGUAGCGAAUAGG
This 227-nucleotide ribosomal RNA is filed under the name uncultured Lichenothelia. Its description in RNAcentral is "partial small subunit ribosomal RNA". It matches the Rfam family "Bacterial small subunit ribosomal RNA", at positions 524 to 776 of the family's 1533-position model. Lineage: Eukaryota; Fungi; Ascomycota; Dothideomycetes; Lichenotheliales; Lichenotheliaceae. The record is from RNAcentral.